This 238-nucleotide ribosomal RNA is filed under the name uncultured bacterium. RNAcentral describes it as "partial 16S ribosomal RNA". It matches the Rfam family "Bacterial small subunit ribosomal RNA", at positions 96 to 334 of the family's 1533-position model. The record is from RNAcentral.
CGGCGGACGGGUGAGUAACGCGUGGGUAACCUGCCCCACUACAGGGGGAUAACAGUUGGAAACGGCUGCUAAUACCGCAUAAGCGCACAGUACCGCAUGGUACGGUGUGAAAAACUCCGGUGGUAUGAGAUGGACCCGCGUCUGAUUAGGUAGUUGGUGGGUAACGGCCUACCAAGCCGACGAUCAGUAGCCGACCUGAGAGGGUGACCGGCCACAUUGGGACUGAGACACGGCCCAA